GUGGAUUAGAUACCCUGGUAGUCCACGCCGUAAACGAUGGAUGCUAGCCGUUGUCGGGUUUACCCGUCAGUGGCGCAGCUAACGCAUUAAGCAUCCCGCCUGGGGAGUACGGUCGCAAGAUUAAAACUCAAAGGAAUUGACGGGGGCCCGCACAAGCGGUGGAGCAUGUGGUUCAAUUCGAAGCAACGCGCAGAACCUUACCAGCCUUUGACAUCCCGGUCGCGGGCACCAGAGAUGGAGCCCUUCAGUUCGGCUGGACCGGAGACAGGUGCUGCAUGGCUGUCGACAACU
RNAcentral lists this ribosomal RNA (291 nucleotides) under uncultured bacterium. RNAcentral's name for it is "partial 16S ribosomal RNA". It matches the Rfam family "Bacterial small subunit ribosomal RNA", at positions 773 to 1060 of the family's 1533-position model. The record is from RNAcentral.